UAAAAACCCCGACUUCGGAAGGGGUGUAUUUAUUAGAUACAAAACCAAUGCCCUUCGGGGCUCUUUGGUGAUUCAUGAUAACUAUACGAAUCGCACGGCCUUGCGCCGGCGAUGGUUCAUUCAAAUUUCUUCCCUAUCAACUUUCGAUGUUUGGGUAUUGGCCAAACAUGGUUGCAACGGGUAACGGAGGGUUAGGGCUCGACCCCGGAGAAGGAGCCUGAGAAACGGCUACUACAUCCAAGGAAGGCAGCAGGCGCGCAAAUUACCCAAUCCCGACUCGGGGAGGUAGUGACAAUAAAUACUGAUACAGGGCCCUUUCGGGCCUUGUAAUUGGAAUGAGUACAAUUUAAAUCCCUUAACGAGGAACAAUUGGAGGGCAAGUCUGGUGCCAGCAGCCGCGGUAAUUCCAGCUCCAAUAGCGUAUAUUAAAGUUGUUGUGGUUAAAAAGCUCGUAGUUGAACCUUGGGCCUGGCUGGCCGGUCCGCCUCACCGCGUGCACUGGUCCGGCCGGGCCUUUCCCUCUGUGGAACCCCCAUACCCUUCACUGGGCGUGGCGGGGAAACAGGACAUUUUACU
RNAcentral lists this ribosomal RNA (576 nucleotides) under uncultured eukaryote. RNAcentral's name for it is "SSU rRNA". It matches the Rfam family "Eukaryotic small subunit ribosomal RNA", at positions 174 to 756 of the family's 1831-position model. The record is from RNAcentral.